This 510-nucleotide ribosomal RNA is filed under the name uncultured bacterium. RNAcentral's name for it is "partial 16S ribosomal RNA". It matches the Rfam family "Bacterial small subunit ribosomal RNA", at positions 355 to 850 of the family's 1533-position model. The record is from RNAcentral.
UGGGGAAUCUUCCGCAAUGGACGAAAGUCUGACGGAGCAACGCCGCGUGUAUGACGAAGGCCUUCGGGUUGUAAAGUACUGUCUUUGGGGGACGAACGGUAUCUAUGUAAAUAAUGCAGAUACAUGACGGUACCCAAGGAGGAAGCCCCGGCUAACUACGUGCCAGCAGCCGCGGUAAUACGUAGGGGGCGAGCGUUGUCCGGAAUCAUUGGGCGUAAAGGGCGCGUAGGCGGGUCAUUAAGUCUGGUGUGAAAGGGCAGGGGCUCAACCCCUGGAAGGCACCGGAAACUGGUUAUCUUGAGGACAGGAGAGGGAAAAGCGGAAUUCCACGCGUAGCAGUGAAAUGCGUAGAUAUGUGGAGGAACACCAGUGGCGAAGGCGGCUUUCUGGACUGUAACUGACGCUGAGGCGCGAAAGCGUGGGGAGCAAACAGGAUUUAGAUACCCCUGGUAGUCCACGCCGUAAACGUGAGUGCUAGGUGUAGAGGGUAUCGACCCCUUCUGUGCCGCA